RNAcentral lists this ribosomal RNA (815 nucleotides) under uncultured bacterium. RNAcentral's name for it is "bacterial SSU rRNA". It matches the Rfam family "Bacterial small subunit ribosomal RNA", at positions 8 to 796 of the family's 1533-position model. The record is from RNAcentral.
AGAGUUUGAUCAUGGCUCAGAACGAACGCUGGCGGCGUGGAUAAGACAUGCAAGUCGAACGAUUAUCAUCGGGUAGCAAUAUUCGGUGGUGAGAGUGGCGCAAGGGUGCGUAACACGUGGGUAAUUUGCCGUGAAGUCUGGAAUAACUUGCUGAAAGGCGAGCUAAUACCGGAUGUGAUUGCCGGAGGGCAUCCUCUGGCACUUAAAGUCGGGGACCGUAAGGCCUGACACUUUUCGAUAAGCCCGCGGCCUAUCAGCUAGUUGGUGAGGUAACGGCUCACCAAGGCUAAGACGGGUAGCUGGUCUGAGAGGACGACCAGCCUCACUGGAACUGAGACACGGUCCAGACACCUACGGGUGGCAGCAGUCGAGAAUUUUUCUCAAUGGGGGAAACCCUGAAGGAGCGACGCCGCGUGGGGGAUGAAUGGCUUCGGCCCGUAAACCCCUGUCAUUUGCGAUCAAACCUUACGACUUAACACGUCGUAAGCUGAUAGUAGCGAAAGAGGAAGGGACGGCUAACUCUGUGCCAGCAGCCGCGGUAAUACAGAGGUCCCAAGCGUUGUUCGGAUUCACUGGGCGUAAAGGGUGCGUAGGCGGUCGGGUAAGUCUGACGUGAAAUCUUCAAGCUCAACUUGGAAACUGCGUCCGAUACUAUUCGGCUAGAGGAAUGGAGGGGAGACUGGAAUACUUGGUGUAGCAGUGAAAUGCGUAGAUAUCAAGUGGAACACCAGUGGCGAAGGCGAGUCUCUGGACAUUUCCUGACGCUGAGGCACGAAAGCCAGGGGAGCAAACGGGAUUAGAUACCCUAGUAGUCC